GGGAAUGUAGCUUAGUGGCGUAAGUGCCUGCCUUGCAAGCAGGUAUUCUUGAGUUCAAUCCUUGGUACCG
RNAcentral lists this transfer RNA (70 nucleotides) under Cavia porcellus (domestic guinea pig). It matches the Rfam family "tRNA". Rfam says of the family: Transfer RNA (tRNA) molecules are approximately 80 nucleotides in length. The record is from Rfam by way of RNAcentral. Lineage: Eukaryota; Metazoa; Chordata; Mammalia; Rodentia; Caviidae.